GAUGAACGCUGGCGGCGUGCUUAACACAUGCAAGUCGAGCGAAGCGCUUAAGUUUGAUUCUUCGGAUGAAGACUUUUGUGACUGAGCGGCGGACGGGUGAGUAACGCGUGGGUAACCUGCCUCAUACAGGGGGAUAACAGUUAGAAAUGACUGCUAAUACCGCAUAAGACCACAGGAUCGCAUGAUCCGGUGGUAAAAACUCCGGUGGUAUGAGAUGGACCCGCGUCUGAUUAGCUAGUUGGUGGGGUAACGGCUCACCAAGGCGACGAUCAGUAGCCGACCUGAGAGGGUGACCGGCACAUUGGGACUGAGACACGGCCCAA
RNAcentral lists this ribosomal RNA (323 nucleotides) under uncultured bacterium. Its description in RNAcentral is "bacterial SSU rRNA". It matches the Rfam family "Bacterial small subunit ribosomal RNA", at positions 28 to 334 of the family's 1533-position model. The record is from RNAcentral.